RNAcentral lists this ribosomal RNA (665 nucleotides) under uncultured Russula. Its description in RNAcentral is "eukaryotic LSU rRNA". The stretch from base 239 to 392 matches the Rfam family "5.8S ribosomal RNA". The record is from RNAcentral. Lineage: Eukaryota; Fungi; Basidiomycota; Agaricomycetes; Russulales; Russulaceae.
UGACCUGCGGAGGNUCAUUAUUGAGUAAUGGAGGUGCUGAGGCUGUCGCUGACCCCUUUUAAAAAAAAUGGGUUGUGCACGCCCCGGUACUCUCACACGUCCAUCCCUCUCACCCCUUUGUGCAUCACCGCGUGGGCUGCCUUUUGGCUUGUUCCAAAAGGGUCUACGUUUUUACAUAGACACCCUUUAAAAGCAUGUGUAGAAUGUCUUACAUUUUGCGGUCACACGCAAUCAAUACAACUUUCAACAACGGAUCUCUUGGCUCUCGCAUCGAUGAAGAACGCAGCGAAAUGCGAUACGUAAUGUGAAUUGCAGAAUUCAGUGAAUCAUCGAAUCUUUGAACGCACCUUGCGCCCUUUGGUAUUCCGAGGGGCACACCCGUUUGAGUGUCAUGACGUUCUCAAAACCUUCUUGUCUUUUUGACGAAAAAGGCUUUGGACUUUGGAGGCUUUUGCUGGCCUUCCCUUGUUGAAGCCAGCUCCUCUCAAAUGAAUUAGUGGGGGUUCACUUUGCUGAUCCCNUGAUGUGAUAAGAUAUUUUCUACAUCUUGGGCUUUGCACUUGGUGCUCUGGAUUCCCUGCUUCUAAAUCAUCUUAUAGAAGAUAAUGUNCNAGUUUGNUUNGUCACUCGACCCACAAACCUUGACCUCAAAUCGGGUGAGACUA